This 449-nucleotide long non-coding RNA is filed under the name Helianthus annuus (common sunflower). RNAcentral's name for it is "hypothetical non coding rna". Lineage: Eukaryota; Viridiplantae; Streptophyta; Magnoliopsida; Asterales; Asteraceae. The record is from RNAcentral.
AAUGGGGAGUGUGUUUUUCGUUCGACCCACGUGAAAGUGAAAAACAGAUUUGCUUGAGGGCAAGCAAAAGACAAGUGUAGGGAUGUGAUGGGUUGGCAUUGGCGCGUUUAAGGUGCAUUUUGGAGAUUUACUGAAGUUUUGGGGGAUGCUAGAGAGAACAUAAUUGAAGAAAAUGCAAAAAAGAGGCAAAACUGAGCUGAACUCUGCGCCAGAUGCAGUCCAAACUUCAUUUUGGCUUAUCCUGAGCUAGAAAAUGAGUUUCGGGGCUUAUAAUAUAUGCAUUUGGGGUAGCUCGACGAGACGAAUCAAAAUAUACGAUUUUGAAGGGCCAAAAAUUGACGCAUUAUCUGCUGCACACCGGCUGAUUAGUAAAAACGGGAUUUUUUGAGAGAAAAAGUAAAUUUUGGAAAAGGGGGAGUUGCACUUUAUUAUUCCUUCAACUCCCAUUC